RNAcentral lists this ribosomal RNA (449 nucleotides) under uncultured organism. RNAcentral describes it as "partial 16S ribosomal RNA". It matches the Rfam family "Bacterial small subunit ribosomal RNA", at positions 332 to 797 of the family's 1533-position model. The record is from RNAcentral.
UACACUCCUGCGGGAGGCAGCAGUGGGGAAUAUUGGACAAUGGGCGCAAGCCUGAUCCAGCCAUGCCGCGUGAGUGAUGAAGGCCCUAGGGUUGUAAAGCUCUUUCACCGGUGAAGAUAAUGACGGUAACCGGAGAAGAAGCCCCGGCUAACUUCGUGCCAGCAGCCGCGGUAAUACGCAGGGGGCUAGCGUUGUUCGGAUUUACUGGGCGUAAAGCGCACGUAGGCGGACUAUUAAGUCAGGGGUGAAAUCCCGGGGCUCAACCCCGGAACUGCCUUUGAUACUGGUAGUCUUGAGUUCGAGAGAGGUGAGUGGAAUUCCGAGUGUAGAGGUGAAAUUCGUAGAUAUUCGGAGGAACACCAGUGGCGAAGGCGGCUCACUGGCUCGAUACUGACGCUGAGGUGCGAAAGCGUGGGGAGCAAACAGGAUUAGAAACCCCAGUAGUCCCA